Rhagoletis zephyria (snowberry fruit fly) is the source of this 155-nucleotide long non-coding RNA. RefSeq lists it as uncharacterized. The record is from RefSeq and is a predicted model, not a curated record. Lineage: Eukaryota; Metazoa; Arthropoda; Insecta; Diptera; Tephritidae.
UAUCGAGUAUAUACUUUUAUUUACUGGAAUCCUUUCAUCCCUAUUCGUGGAUUUAAUUGAUAAAUUUAACUAAAUAGAUAUGGAUUCACAUGAUAUAUUCCUUCAGUUAACUAGGGGUGCGAGGUUUACGCAUUCCAAGCCAAGAGGCGAAAUAA